RNAcentral lists this long non-coding RNA (1237 nucleotides) under Homo sapiens (human). Its description in RNAcentral is "HSALNT0376212". The record is from RNAcentral. Lineage: Eukaryota; Metazoa; Chordata; Mammalia; Primates; Hominidae.
ACUUCACUAACCUCUAACAAGAAUGUAAAAGCAUGAAAUAGAGUUUACAGAAUAUCUUUCGUGUCUACUGUGUGCCCUGUUAUAUAAUAAAAGCAUGACUGGGAUGAAUGAGAUGCAAAAGUCAGGCAUACUAGAAGGAAGCUCUGAUUUAGUGAAUAAUGGACCGUUAAGUAAAGAUGGUAAUAGAAAUGCAUAUUAAUAAAGCUCUGGAGGCUGAGAAUCUCAAGAGUGAGGGGCCAGCAUCUGAUAAGGGCCUUCCUGCUGCAUCAUCCCAUGGCUGUAGGGCAAAGAGUGGGCAAGAGAAAGAGAAAGAGAGAGUGAGUGCACGCAACAGGAAAGUGGGCCGAAUUCACUGUUCUAUCAGGAAGCCACUCCUGGAUAACUAACCCACUCCAGUGAUAAUGGCAUUAAUCCAUUCAUAAGGGCAGACCCCUCAUGACCUAAUCAUUUCUUAAAGGUCCUAUCUCUCAACACUAUUGCAAUAGAUUAUGUUUCCAACACAUGGACUUUGUGGGCACAAAAACCAUAGUACCUCCCAUUUAUCAAUGGUUUGUUUUAGUACACCAGAAUGGAUCAGACAGCUUCUAAAGCCAUCCCACAUGCUGACAGAAGUCUAGCACAAAACAAGAGAGUCUUACUAAGUCUAAAACGGGGUGCUCCCAGGCUGCAUCUUCCUACAGUUUGUUGUAACAACAGUUCUGGGACCAAGAAGUGGGCCAAGAGGAUGCAACAUUAGAUGUAAAGGAUGUCCAAUAUAGCCUGUUUCUUGCCUAGGAAAAAAAAAAAAAAAAAAAAAAAAGACAGUGGGUGAUGCACAUCUUGCUAGAAGACUUGAGUUUGGAGAAAAACUCUCAUGGUAACAAAGAGUAUACAUUUACCUGGCCUUGUCCUUUAUGCAUAUAAAUCCCUGGGAGCAUCCGACAAGAAGGUGUAGCUAUGGCAUAAUGGGAUUACAGUGUGACUCUCGCCAUGGCUCGAUCUAUCUGAUAGGCACAACUGAAAUACACCGUGACCCUUGACCUCAAACAGUUUCGCAAGUCUUUCUGGCAUAUUGCCAACUGAAAAGUUUUAUGAUUUGGGGCUGUUAAAUAAAAUAUAUUAUGACCUUCUACUUGACAAAUAUACUUUCAUUUACAACAUUUAAAAAAUGUGUAAAGCUAUAAUUUUUGUAUGACUGAAAGGAAUAUAUCAAUGAUGAGAAUUUAAUUAUUGUCAUAACUGAGUUUGCUGUUCAUGA